ACUCCUACGGGAGGCAGCAGUAGGGAAUCUUCCACAAUGGGCGCAAGCCUGAUGGAGCAACACCGCGUGAGUGAAGAAGGGUUUCGGCUCGUAAAGCUCUGUUGUUAAAGAAGAACACGUAUGAGAGUAACUGUUCAUACGUUGACGGUAUUUAACCAGAAAGUCACGGCUAACUACGUGCCAGCAGCCGCGGUAAUACGUAGGUGGCAAGCGUUAUCCGGAUUUAUUGGGCGUAAAGAGAGUGCAGGCGGUUUUCUAAGUCUGAUGUGAAAGCCUUCGGCUUAACCGGAGAAGUGCAUCGGAAACUGGAUAACUUGAGUGCAGAAGAGGGUAGUGGAACUCCAUGUGUAGCGGUGGAAUGCGUAGAUAUAUGGAAGAACACCAGUGGCGAAGGCGGCUACCUGGUCUGCAACUGACGCUGUAGACUCGAAAGCAUGGGGUAGCGAACAGGAUUAGAUACCCUGGUAGGAUAGCG
This 475-nucleotide ribosomal RNA is filed under the name uncultured bacterium. Its description in RNAcentral is "bacterial SSU rRNA". It matches the Rfam family "Bacterial small subunit ribosomal RNA", at positions 335 to 801 of the family's 1533-position model. The record is from RNAcentral.